CCCUAAACAAAUAUGUAUACUAGUUCAGCGAUAAUGGACGUCAUACUAAACUCCUAAUUAUACACAAGAAACUAAAAUUAAAAAUCAUAAAAGAAUAACAAAGUCCAGAGGAUCCCGACUUGGGACAGGCGCAAAAUUGCGGCGGGGUUAAACAUGUUUUUUGAGAUCUCAACCCUCCCCCUAUACCUCUAGCCAAUGUAGAAAAA
This 206-nucleotide long non-coding RNA is filed under the name Mytilus galloprovincialis (Mediterranean mussel). Lineage: Eukaryota; Metazoa; Mollusca; Bivalvia; Mytilida; Mytilidae. The record is from RNAcentral.